Molecule: long non-coding RNA, 562 nt
Organism: Glycine soja
Lineage: Eukaryota; Viridiplantae; Streptophyta; Magnoliopsida; Fabales; Fabaceae
Exons: 2
Source: RefSeq, a predicted model, not a curated record
ACUAUCUUUCUGUGCAUGACUUCAUCACCUUAUUGAUUGUGCUUGUUACAUAACCAAACUUCACCUUCUAGUUUUAAUUUCCCCAACACACAAGGAAAAAUGUAUGCACCUCCCACAUAACAAGAGAUAACUUAUGUGGAACAUGUUCGCAGACGCCACGAAGAAAAGGGUUGUCUUUAUGCUUGCUUGUUUGCCUUGUGUUGCUGCUUCUGCUGCUAUGAGACCUGUGAGUGCUGUUUGGAUGUGCUAUGUUGCUGCUGCCCUUAGAUAUGAAUGAUCAAUGCCUGCAACAGUCCUAUACAUAAUAAAAACAUGAUCAUAUUCGUAGUCUCUUCUAUGUGUAUCUACCUAGAGUAAUAAUUACAAAUGAAGAUGUAACUUUUUGAGUAUGUUACUUUUGAUGUGCUUGUGAUAUGCUUUCUUGGUAAAAUUACUUUAUGAUCAAGGAGGCAUAGGCCUAACUAGUGCUACCCUUUUUUCGGUUUUUUCCUUGUUGAAUAUUUCAAUUUAGGGCAAGUUACUCUAGUGAUAAUAUAACGGUGAAAUGAACAUUUUGGGGACC